This 1642-nucleotide long non-coding RNA is filed under the name Helianthus annuus (common sunflower). RNAcentral's name for it is "hypothetical non coding rna". The stretch from base 274 to 360 matches the Rfam family "Small nucleolar RNA R16". Lineage: Eukaryota; Viridiplantae; Streptophyta; Magnoliopsida; Asterales; Asteraceae. The record is from RNAcentral.
UCCAGCUUCUUUAGUUUUAAUUGCAGUCGUUUAUUCUAAGAAUUUAUGUUUUCUAUUGAUCUGUAUGUGUUUGCAUCUGUUUUACCCUCUCCUUGUUAUGAAUUUUGUAUUAUUCAAGGAGAUAUAACUGAUGCAUAAAGCUAAUUAAGGAUGGCUUACCAACGCAUUGCAUUUUUACUGAUUGCUUUAGUGUCAAAUGGUCCUUCCUAAAUUAUAAAUCUGUAUAAUAUAUUUUCAGUUUUUAUAAUAUUUUUUGUAGUUGAAUUGUAUUGUAUUGGCAGAUGACGAUAAAUCAGUUUAUGCUUAACACUCUGAUUUAACCGUGGUGAUUAUAAACUCCGCUUAUUAUCUGAUGCCUAUUUUUAAGUUUGUUAUUUUUUAUUUUGGCCAAUUUCAGAAAGAUUAUUUUCCAAUUUGCCUUUAACUAUCUCUCAAUUGUUUUCUGAUGCUUCCCUGUAACAUAUAUUUUUACAGAAAUAUUCUGUUUUUCGAUGAUGAAAUUUAGCAGACGGGCGGUCUGAAAUGAUGCCAUGUUGAUUGUCUGCCUAAUAUCCAUUUAAUGGAUUAAUUUCUGAGAUUAAGUGUUUUGACCAACAUUUUUUUGUUUUCAAAUUUGGUUUUGGUAUGCGAUGAUGAGUAUGCAAUUAUAUGUCUGGACUUAUGAGACAUUGUCUAUGAAAUAAUAAGCAUUCUUCUGAGCUGAUUUAUUUAUCGAUGUUAAAAAAAUACUAAAUAGUUCAUAGACACUUGCAAGGGUAUCAACGCCGUCAUCAUCAUGAUUGUACAGAUGCACCCACAUAUCCAAUAGAGAACUAGCUUUGAUAUGUUGAUCUUCUAAGAAUAUCCCGAAGUCCAAGAAGCAUUGUUUGAGUUUCUCGUCUAAUACGUCAUAGCUUCUCUCAAGGCGCACAAGAACUUCGUUGUUUAAAUCCAAAACUGAAUGACCUUGACUCAAUGUGUUAAGCAUCGAUUUCCAUGACACCUCAUUUUUCCCAUUAGGGAGCCGCCAACUACAGAAAGCGUAAGCGGGUGUUUCUUACAGCAUUUAACCAUCUACAAAAAAGUUUACAAACACAAAUUAGUCCACCAGAGUAACAAUAUCUAUAAAAAUCAUAUAUUCAGUUGUAAAACAUUUUGUUAUGCUACCUGAUCCACAAGAGUCUCAUCAAUAGUAGGAAUAGGUGUUGCAGAGUUGCGAAAGAUAAUCUUAGCAUUUUCGUCACUCAAAGGGUCGAAUUUGAACACGUCAUAUCUCUUAAAGCUCGUCCUAGAAGUGACCAGAGUUUGUAGACCUUCGAUAUCAAAUGCAAAGUUUCUGACAUAAGACUCACACCAAACGUCAUCCAACACUAGAAGUAUAGGUCACUUAAUUUGCUGAUCAAAGUGAAGUGGAUUCAGAAGGUCAUUAACACUUGCUAUGAAAUCAGGAGUUUCUGAAGCUGUCACAAAGAAAAUAUUGGCACCAAAAUUGUCUGUCGAAAAAAAUGAGAGAUGUUAGCCAAUACCAUAUGAUUAUUAGAAUGUAACGAAGGGGUAUGACCACCUCGUUAGUACCGCUUCACAGGCUAUAUAUAUGCCCGAAAUUGUAAAGAAAUGUGGAUCAAUUUCAUUAUUAUAAGACUUUUGCUGGCAGACAAGAUUC